This 119-nucleotide ribosomal RNA is filed under the name Petromyzon marinus (sea lamprey). The record is from RNAcentral. Lineage: Eukaryota; Metazoa; Chordata; Hyperoartia; Petromyzontiformes; Petromyzontidae.
CCAGAAUGAAAAAUCUCCCUGGAUGUGACGAAUAUUGUCAGAUCCUGGAUGCUAAGCAGGACAGUGCCUGGUUAGUGCUUGGUUGGGAAACUGCCUGGGAAUGCCAGGUGCUGUCGGCU